Molecule: ribosomal RNA, 491 nt
Filed under: Salmonella enterica subsp. enterica serovar Indiana
Lineage: Bacteria; Pseudomonadati; Pseudomonadota; Gammaproteobacteria; Enterobacterales; Enterobacteriaceae
Description: partial 23S ribosomal RNA
Rfam family: Bacterial large subunit ribosomal RNA
Source: RNAcentral
GGGUUGUGAGGUUAAGCGACUAAGCGUACACGGUGGAUGCCCUGGCAGUCAGAGGCGAUGAAGGACGUGCUAAUCUGCGAUAAGCGCCGGUAAGGUGAUAUGAACCGUUAUAACCGGCGAUUUCCGAAUGGGGAAACCCAGUGUGACUCGUCACACUAUCAUUAACUGAAUCCAUAGGUUAAUGAGGCGAACCGGGGGAACUGAAACAUCUAAGUACCCCGAGGAAAAGAAAUCAACCGAGAUUCCCCCAGUAGCGGCGAGCGAACGGGGAGGAGCCCAGAGCCUGAAUCAGCAUGUGUGUUAGUGGAAGCGUCUGGAAAGGCGCGCGAUACAGGGUGACAGCCCCGUACACAAAAGCGCAUGUGCUGUGAGCUCGAUGAGUAGGGCGGGACACGUGGUAUCCUGUCUGAAUAUGGGGGGACCAUCCUCCAAGGCUAAAUACUCCUGACUGACCGAUAGUGAACCAGUACCGUGAGGGAAAGGCGAAAAGA